CUUCUCCGCGUGAAGACGGCCGAACCUCCCUGGUGUCUGCAGAGCUCUCGCUUUGUCCCCGGCCAGCAGCGGGCUCAGCCCGGUGUUAGCCGCCGGCCACUCUCACAGGUGUGCGGUGGGGCCUCGGCGGCCGUUGUCACCUGCAGCUCUCACAGUUCCCUCACACCCGGAAGCUGGGCUCCAGAAGCAAGCACCCGAGAGCAGGCAGCGGUGUGUGGUGAAUGGCCUGUGCUCAGAGGUCGCAGAGCAUCGCCCUCAGCUGCCUCCUCUGGGAGCACAGUCGCAGUAGCUGUGUGUGCAGAAGAACAGUGUUGCCCCCGCCCCAGCAACAGGCGGUCAGCGUCCCACUACGAGCACAUGGACGGGGCAGCGAGCUCUGGCGGCUCUGACAGGGCCAUCUGCUGGUCUCCUGGCCACAAGAAUUUACGUCUCUCCUUGCACAAAAUAAACUCAAACCCCUCUUCUGAGUGCCUCGCAUCUGUGACCACUGAGGCAUUAGCACGCGGUCUGGGAUCUCCUGGGCGUCAGGAGUUGCUGGGAUCUAGAGGGACAAGGUACAUGACGCCCGUCCACACAGUGGCCAAGUGGGGUGCAGAGGUGGCUGUGGCAAGCCCUGCUGACCCCCUGACGUCCCUUCCUUUCCUGAAGUGAGGUCAGUCUUCUCCGCCGAGCAGCUUUGCCAGACUACUUUCUACCUGUAGAAGUUUGGGGCCUCCGUGACUCUUUAUGUUGUGCUCUGUGUUCCUUCUUUCAGUCCAACCAAUGUAAUUUUUAAAACUGUGAGAUUUUUCAGAUUGAUUCUCAGUCUACACUAUUAGACAAAAACC
Molecule: long non-coding RNA, 827 nt
Filed under: Fukomys damarensis (Damara mole-rat)
Lineage: Eukaryota; Metazoa; Chordata; Mammalia; Rodentia; Bathyergidae
Description: lncRNA (ENSFDAG00000026689.1)
Source: RNAcentral